GGCGAGAAUACCAUGUUAAAUACGCGAGCUAUGACCUUUAUGACCUGACAUUUACAUAUAUCCAUUGACCCAGCCCGCGAAAUACCUCUUAUAUGACCUACAAUUUAUUUACUGUAUUAUUUAUUUAUAUUUCAAUUUUAAACUUGACUAAAAAUAAAAAUUAAAACGUAAACAAAGGAUAUUUUUAGGCUCGUCGACCACCAUCUUGCGCGGGUUGAUAUGGCGGACUUGGGGCUUGGCCAGACCUUCAAGCCAGCAGACCACACAUGCUUUGGGUGUAGAGGAAGACCUGGAGCUAAUUCUCAGAGGCCGGGACUAUUGUGAUGGCUGUUUCCAGUGGCCAUGAAGCAGCACGGCCGACGACGCAGCACAGAGGAAGGCAGCGUCCAGGAGGGUCAAGAUAGCCUGCUGUCCUCCUGAAGGCUUGGGGUCAACACAGACGCCCACAGACACACACAAGUUCCAGUUCUCCUCGGGCAGUCAGGUGUUCCCAGGGG
Long non-coding RNA from Eriocheir sinensis (Chinese mitten crab), 497 nucleotides. RefSeq lists it as uncharacterized. NCBI's taxonomy places the organism in Eukaryota, Metazoa, Arthropoda, Malacostraca, Decapoda, Varunidae. The record is from RefSeq and is a predicted model, not a curated record. The transcript is spliced from 3 exons.